UACGUAGGUGGCAAGCGUUGUCCGGAAUUAUUGGGCGUAAAGCGCGCGCAGGCGGUUAUGUAAGUCUGAUGUUAAAAACCGGGGCUCAACCUCGGUUCGCAUUGGAAACUGCGUAACUUUGGUGCAGAAGAAGAAACUGGUAUUCCACGAGUAGCGGUGAAAUGCGUAGAUAUGUGGAGGAACACCAGUGGCGAAGGCGACUUUCUGGUCUGUAACUGACGCGGAGGCGCGCAAGCGUGGGGAGCAAACAGG
This 252-nucleotide ribosomal RNA is filed under the name uncultured bacterium. RNAcentral's name for it is "partial 16S ribosomal RNA". It matches the Rfam family "Bacterial small subunit ribosomal RNA", at positions 524 to 776 of the family's 1533-position model. The record is from RNAcentral.